This 72-nucleotide transfer RNA is filed under the name Camelus bactrianus (Bactrian camel). It matches the Rfam family "tRNA". From Rfam's summary of the family: Transfer RNA (tRNA) molecules are approximately 80 nucleotides in length. Their secondary structure includes four short double-helical elements and three loops (D, anti-codon, and T loops). Further hydrogen bonds mediate the characteristic L-shaped molecular structure. tRNAs have two regions of fundamental functional importance: the anti-codon, which is responsible for specific mRNA codon recognition, and the 3' end, to which the tRNAs corresponding amino acid is attached (by aminoacyl-tRNA synthetases). tRNAs cope with the degeneracy of the genetic code in two manners: having more than one tRNA (with a specific anti-codon) for a particular amino acid; and 'wobble' base-pairing, i.e. permitting non-standard base-pairing at the 3rd anti-codon position. Lineage: Eukaryota; Metazoa; Chordata; Mammalia; Artiodactyla; Camelidae. RNAcentral also lists the same sequence under 2 other names. The record is from Rfam by way of RNAcentral.
AAAGGUAUAGCUCAGUGGUAGACCUUGUGCUUAGCAUGUACGAGGACCUAGGUUCAAUCCCCAAUACCUCUA